RNAcentral lists this unclassified non-coding RNA (330 nucleotides) under soil metagenome. Its description in RNAcentral is "partial contains 5.8S ribosomal RNA, internal transcribed spacer 2, and large subunit ribosomal RNA". The stretch from base 3 to 121 matches the Rfam family "5.8S ribosomal RNA", at positions 36 to 154 of the family's 154-position model. The record is from RNAcentral.
GAAUGAAGAACGUAGCGAAAUGCGAUAAGUAAUGUGAAUUGCAGAAUUCAGUGAAUCAUCGAAUCUUUGAACGCACAUUGCGCCCCCUGGUAUUCCGGGGGGCAUGCCUGUCCGAGCGUCAUUACAACCCUCAAGCUCAGCUUGGUGUUGGGCCCCGCCGCCCCGGCGGGCCCUAAAGUCAGUGGCGGUGCCGUCCGGCUCCGAGCGUAGUAAUUCUUCUCGCUCUGGAGGUCCGGUCGUGUGCUCGCCAGCAACCCCCAAUUUUUUUCAGGUUGACCUCGGAUCAGGUAGGGAUACCCGCUGAACUUAAGCAUAUCAAUAAGCGGAGGA